RNAcentral lists this ribosomal RNA (1498 nucleotides) under Clostridium botulinum. Its description in RNAcentral is "bacterial SSU rRNA". It matches the Rfam family "Bacterial small subunit ribosomal RNA". The record is from RNAcentral. Lineage: Bacteria; Bacillati; Bacillota; Clostridia; Eubacteriales; Clostridiaceae.
GAGUUUGAUCCUGGCUCAGGACGAACGCUGGCGGCGUGCUUAACACAUGCAAGUCGAGCGAUGAAACUUCCUUCGGGAAGUGGAUUAGCGGCGGACGGGUGAGUAACACGUGGGUAACCUGCCUCAAAGUGGGGGAUAGCCUUCCGAAAGGAAGAUUAAUACCGCAUAAUAUGAGAGAAUCGCAUGAUUUUCUUAUCAAAGAUUUAUCGCUUUGAGAUGGACCCGCGGCGCAUUAGCUAGUUGGUAAGGUAACGGCUUACCAAGGCAACGAUGCGUAGCCGACCUGAGAGGGUGAUCGGCCACAUUGGAACUGAGACACGGUCCAGACUCCUACGGGAGGCAGCAGUGGGGAAUAUUGCGCAAUGGGGGAAACCCUGACGCAGCAACGCCGCGUGGGUGAUGAAGGUCUUCGGAUUGUAAAGCCCUGUUUUCUAGGACGAUAAUGACGGUACUAGAGGAGGAAGCCACGGCUAACUACGUGCCAGCAGCCGCGGUAAUACGUAGGUGGCGAGCGUUGUCCGGAUUUACUGGGCGUAAAGGGUGCGUAGGCGGAUGUUUAAGUGGGAUGUGAAAUCCCCGGGCUUAACCUGGGGGCUGCAUUCCAAACUGGAUAUCUAGAGUGCAGGAGAGGAAAGCGGAAUUCCUAGUGUAGCGGUGAAAUGCGUAGAGAUUAGGAAGAACACCAGUGGCGAAGGCGGCUUUCUGGACUGUAACUGACGCUGAGGCACGAAAGCGUGGGUAGCAAACAGGAUUAGAUACCCUGGUAGUCCACGCCGUAAACGAUGGAUACUAGGUGUAGGGGGUAUCAACUCCCCCUGUGCCGCAGUUAACACAAUAAGUAUCCCGCCUGGGGAGUACGGUCGCAAGAUUAAAACUCAAAGGAAUUGACGGGGGCCCGCACAAGCAGCGGAGCAUGUGGUUUAAUUCGAAGCAACGCGAAGAACCUUACCUGGACUUGACAUCCCUUGCAUAGCCUAGAGAUAGGUGAAGCCCUUCGGGGCAAGGAGACAGGUGGUGCAUGGUUGUCGUCAGCUCGUGUCGUGAGAUGUUAGGUUAAGUCCUGCAACGAGCGCAACCCUUGUUAUUAGUUGCUACCAUUAAGUUGAGCACUCUAAUGAGACUGCCUGGGUAACCAGGAGGAAGGUGGGGAUGACGUCAAAUCAUCAUGCCCCUUAUGUCCAGGGCUACACACGUGCUACAAUGGUAGGUACAAUAAGACGCAAGACCGUGAGGUGGAGCAAAACUUAUAAAACCUAUCUCAGUUCGGAUUGUAGGCUGCAACUCGCCUACAUGAAGCUGGAGUUGCUAGUAAUCGCGAAUCAGAAUGUCGCGGUGAAUACGUUCCCGGGCCUUGUACACACCGCCCGUCACACCAUGAGAGCUGGUAACACCCGAAGUCCGUGAGGUAACCGUAAGGAGCCAGCGGCCGAAGGUGGGAUUAGUGAUUGGGGUGAAGUCGUAACAAGGUAGCCGUAGGAGAACCUGCGGCUGGAUCACC